UAUUAGAAAAGUUUGCUCGUUUUCAUUCACGUCUUUUCAAUAAAACACAAGCACUCUAAUUAUUUCAAAUUUGCUCGUUUAUUGAUCCUUCUUAUAUCAAUAUUUGCUUUGCAUUACCGAACGUAAUUAUUUUCAUCUUUAAAAAAAUAAUAAUUGAUUUGCCCGGCUUACCACCAAAUACCGGCAACUGCACGGCAGCGAGAUAAGACCGCCUAGCAAGAUGCGCUUCCGCUAUCGCUAGAUACACAAGAAGUUGUUGCUUACAAAUUCGGCGUAGUCAUUGUCGUUUGUAAACAAAUUCUUGCAUGUCUUCCACGGAUGCACUAGGCGGUCUUAUUUUGCCAUGCGCUGCCGUACGGUUGCCGGUACUUGGCGAUAGACUGAGCGAAUUAUUUGGCGGUAAGUCAGGUUAUUAUUUUUUAAUGAACAACUUAUUAAUUUUUGCGAAAAUUAUAAAAUAGUAGGACUUUUCUACUCAAUUUAGUCAUCUCAGUCUCUAGCAUACCCUAUGUGAAAAAUUUUUUGACACCCCGUAUACAUGUAUGAUUAUCGCACUCAUGUAAAAAUAGAAACUCCGAGAUUAAGAUACAUAUGUUGAGUACACGUGUGCGUGCAGAAAGGAACAUGAUAAGAGAAAAGUCUAGCCAAGAAUCCAGCACAGCGAGAUAAACAGGUCAGUUACCAGAAUCUUUACCGCGAGAGAGUUAACGUAAUAAUUUUGUGUUUCCAGAAAGACUGCAUUUCUCGUACAUAAUUUUGUAAACCUUAACUCUAGUGAAGUGUUGAUCGAGUCAUAAGUAAACACUAUGGUCAAACAAAUAUACAAACAAGCAAGCAAGUAGCCAGCAUGUUAACAGCUGACUUAAAAUCGUCAGAAUCGUAACAUACUGUACAAUCAUAUCGUUGACAUUCAUUCAUGACGAUAUUGCAUCGAUGCUAAAUUAUAUAAAAUAUUAAUUGCUCAUUGCUUAAAAUGAGAUGUUUUCGAAACUUAUUUCCACAAUCCUGCUCAGUUAUAGGAAUGGUGCACGUGAAAGCGCUUCCUGGGACACCAAAAUAUGAAGGCUGCAGCGAAAAAAUCGUAGAAAAUGCAACAAAAGAAGCAUUACUAUAUGCUGAUUGUUCUUUGGACGGUAUUCUGAUUGAAAAUAUGCACGAUGUCCCUUAUAUUAAGCAGAAGGAUAUAUCGCCGGAAAUUAUUACUAUGAUGACUAGAAUUUGCACAGAAGUUAGAAGAAUCACACCACAAAAUAUUGCAUGUGGUGUUCAGAUCCUUGCCGGAUGCAAUAAGGAAGCAAUUGCAGUUGCUAAAGCUGCAAGAUUGCAGUUUAUUAGAGCUGAAGGAUUUGUCUUUUCUCAAGUGGCUGAUGAAGGCUUUAUUGAUUCAAAUGCUGGAACGUUAUUAAGAUAUAGAAAGCAAAUCGACGCGGAAAACGUCCUUAUUUUUGUUGAUGUCAAAAAGAAACAUAGCUCGCAUAUGAUCACUUCUGACGUGAGUUUGUUGGAAACUGUAAAAGCUGCAGAAUUUUUUUUAGCUGACGGCAUUAUACUAACCGGUAACGCAACUGGCGAAGAAACAAACGUGAAAGAUCUUUUAGGGGUUAAAACAACCCUUAAAACUCGAGAUAAGCUGAUAAAAAAUACGGGUUUUUUUCUUUUUUGAUGCUCUAUAACAUAUCCAAGGCCAAUAAAAUCGGUGAAGAACAGCCCCGACCGUUCUCUUAUUAGGUUCGAGAAUGCAUCGCAUCCAAAUUACCGUUAUUAAUAGGCUCAGGCGUGACAUUGAACAACGUGGACAAUUACGUGAAUGCGGCAGACGCGUUGAUCGUGGG
Molecule: unclassified non-coding RNA, 1832 nt
Filed under: Monomorium pharaonis (pharaoh ant)
Lineage: Eukaryota; Metazoa; Arthropoda; Insecta; Hymenoptera; Formicidae
Description: uncharacterized protein F13E9.13, mitochondrial, transcript variant X2
Source: RNAcentral